AAUGGCGAUUUGAAUAUUUCGAAGCGCGAAUAUAGCAAACUUUGGAGGGAUUGUUUUCCCAAUUGUGCACCUGUUUCGCUUGGGGAGCGACGGAUUCUGAUAAAGUUGCAAACACUACCAAACAGUGAAAUAAAGAUAUGAAACAUUAUCCCACUCAAAAAUAGGUUAUAGUCCAGAUGAAGAAUCGAAUUCACUGGUCCAUAAUAAAUACAGGUCAGUGGUCUAUUGCAUUGUGGGCAAUGUGGUGUUACCAAAUUAGCCAAUCACAAGCUGCAGUUUCGGUCAUGUGACAGUUUUUGACAGAUUGAGUGAUUGACAGUCAGUUUUCAAGACCAUGUGGACGCUGCGGUGGCAAGGAAAUUCGCUCUUCGUUUCAAGAAAAGAAAACCAGGCCGAAAUCUGUCGACGAAAGCUGGAUUCAAUGGUCGUGAGUUUUACAUUGUAAUGAUGGAGAAAUGUUACCAUUUUUCAUGCAAAUACAAAAUCUAAAAUUAAAUUCAAACCAGACAUUUUAUGAAAUCAAAAUCAAACCAGACAUUUUAUAAUAUACCCAGACAUUUGAGGCUCCUCUGUUUUUGGAUUGCAUGCAGUUCAGAUCCCAACCCUUGGUUAUAUCUUGCAUGUUUUGUCAGGAGUAAUGAGUAAGUAUAAGUGAUCAGCGGCCGGGGUCAUUUAUACUUUCUGUAUGCUCGACUGACCUAGUCCGGCAUAGGCAAAAUAUUGCUCUUGGAGCACACAAAAAAAGAGAUGCAUGUUGAGAUAUGAUCUUAAAAAGGGGGUAUAAUGGUCGAGUGUUAAAUGUCUGUCCCAUUUUUGAAUGAAGCAUGUGUUAAAUCUUGCUAAAUUUGCAUGUAAUUUCGAAAAUGCAUGAAAAUUUUGUAUUCGCAUGUACAAUGAGCGUCGUGGUGAAGAUGAUGUUGGUGGAGCUCAUGCAGAUGAUGAUGGACCAGCUGACGAUGACAGAUGAUGAUGGACCACCCGAUUACAGAUGAUGAUGGACCACCUGAUGACGAUGAUCAGCAGAUGAUGAUGGACCGCCCGAUGACAGAUGAUGGACCGCCCGAUGACAGAUGAUGAUGGGCCGCCCGAAGACAGAAGAUGAUGGGCUGAAGACAGGUUUGAUGGGUGGUAUUAUUCAGUUUUCAUACAUUCUAUCCUGUGCAUGCUUGUUUUCCUGGUGGUCUGCUCUAAAUGUGUAAUACAUUAAGUGAAAUUCCCAUUUUGACAUUGAUGAUAAAUAAAAAUUCCGGAUUGCAUGCAGAACAAUUAAAUUAAUGUAUACAGCAUGUUUGAUUCUUUGAAAAUGCAUGUUUCUGUUUUAUCACUUAAUGUGUAAUGCAAUUGGUGAAAUUAAUGCAUGAUAUUACUGAAGUGUCCAAUGGUGCGGCUAAAAAUGAUGAAGCAAGAACUCAACUUGAAGAAUGGAAUUCGUACAAAGGUAACUGUGAACAAGAACCAGGUAUGCAUAUGAUUGUUUUUGUUUGUUGGCACAUAUACAUAAGGCAUUGGCAUUAAAAAUUUGCAACAAAAUAUUACAGUAAUGCGCCACAAGAUUGAUUUCUGUAAGUGCAUGUGCGAAUGAAAAUAGCUAAAAUAAUAGCAUUAUUUUAAAAAAGCGAAUUAUUUUCAAAGCUUUUUAUGUAUUAAUGUCGUACCAUACUUGAUCACCUCUGGCAAUAUUUUACCGUGAAUCUUUCCUGUUUUUUAGAAAGAAAUCGAGGAACAAUUAAGGAAAGAGGAAGAAGAGGCAAAAUCUCGACAAGCUGCUCUUGAACAAGAGAGAUUAGAUCACGAACUGGCCUUGCGUUUGGCAAAGGAAUCCAACUCGAACAGGGAUUAUUUUAAGGAAAUUUUAUCACUGCACAAAAGCGCAAAAAGGAUAAAAUUUGUAUCAUUUUCCCCACAUUACAGAAAAACUUCUGACUGACCUACUUGUUCUGAUUCUUCAACCCAUGCAUUACACUAUAUACAUGCUAUCAAAUGAGCCAAAAUCCCAGCUGAGCCUAUAUCACCAUCCUCUAUUUUUAUAACAUUAGCAAUAUUAAAUAUCAACACUUUCUCACAUAGGCCUAUUUUUUGCAAAAUGUCAAUGCAUCUACAUUACUUAGCACUCAUCUUUAAAGAAUUUUCUAACAAGCAACUAUGAAAUGUAAUGUAAUUUGUCGAAAAAUACCACAUUUAUCACUGCACAUAUUCUCAUUUAUCACUGCACAAAUCUCAUUUAUCACUGCACAAAUUGGUUAUCACUGCACACUAAAAUAAUCCCUGAACUCGAAUGUAGAACCCAUGGAGGAACAAAAAGCUAUUAAAAGCCUCCUUGAAAGAUCCGAAUAAGAAAUAUGACCUGAGUAAAUGGAAAUAUGCUGAGUUAAGAGACGCCAUCAACACCUCGUGCGAUGUCGAGUUAUUAGAAGCUUGUAAACAAGAGUUCCAUCGCCGUCUUAAGGUUUAUCAUCAGUGGAAAAAUAAAAAUAAGGCAUCGAAGUCGACGGGUCAAAGUGCUGGUGAUCAAAGAGCACCUCAAGAGGUCGUGGAAGAAGAGCGGCUUCCUUGAAAGAUCCGAAUAAGAAAUAUGACCUGAGUAAAUGGAAAUAUGCUGAGUUAAGAGACGCCAUCAACACCUCGUGC
This 2628-nucleotide unclassified non-coding RNA is filed under the name Dendronephthya gigantea. Its description in RNAcentral is "unconventional myosin-VI-like, transcript variant X1". Lineage: Eukaryota; Metazoa; Cnidaria; Anthozoa; Malacalcyonacea; Nephtheidae. The record is from RNAcentral.